This 470-nucleotide long non-coding RNA is filed under the name Hordeum vulgare. RNAcentral's name for it is "long non-coding RNA (HVUL_LNC014872)". The record is from RNAcentral. Lineage: Eukaryota; Viridiplantae; Streptophyta; Magnoliopsida; Poales; Poaceae.
AAACACUGAAAAUGUAAGUGAAGUCUAUUGGAUUUUAUUUUUCAAUGUGCAAUGUAUUGUAUGUGUAAUUAUUUAUCUGUGUUUUAAAUUUACAGGAAGAUGUGGAUGCUGAGAAUGAGCAAAAUAAUUUUGAGGAUUCGGGGGUCGAUAACGUGAGUCAGGUUCGUUCAAACUUUUUUGUACCACGUAUGGUAGUUUGUAAUAGAUGGUAAUAACUGACAUAGUUUCAUAUGUAAUUUUGUAGGAGGACUCAAGAUGGUCCUGAUGGUUCUGAAGACGGAGCAGAGAUGGACAUUGAGGAGGCUCAAUACCAGCAGCAGAUGUUGGAGACACAUUGGAAGAUUAUGGCUACGACUUUUCGGUCCCAAGGGCAAUUUAACAUUGAAAGGUUAAGCGAAUCUGUUAUGAUUCUGAAUCCUGUUUCUAGACAGGGACUAAGGUUCCUCGUAUAUAAGAAAUCACAAUCCAAG